RNAcentral lists this ribosomal RNA (379 nucleotides) under uncultured bacterium. RNAcentral describes it as "bacterial SSU rRNA". It matches the Rfam family "Bacterial small subunit ribosomal RNA", at positions 29 to 417 of the family's 1533-position model. The record is from RNAcentral.
AUUGAAUGCUGGCGGCAUGCCUAACACAUGCAAGUCGAACGGGGGUAGCGAUACCCUAGUGGGCGGACGGGUGAGGAACGCGUAGGAAUUGGCCCACGAGUGGGGGACAACCUGGGGAAACCCAGGCUAAUACCGCAUACGCUCGCGAGAGGAAAGCGGGGGAUCUACGGACCUCGCGCUGGUGGACAAGCCUACGUCCGAUUAGCUAGUUGGCAGGGUAAAAAGCCUACCAAGGCGACGAUCGGUAGCUGGUCUGAGAGGAUGAUCAGCCACACUGGGACUGAGACACGGCCCAGACUCCUACGGGAGGCAGCAGUGGGGAAUAUUGGACAAUGGGCGCAAGCCUGAUCCAGCAAUGCCGCGUGGGUGAAGACGGCCU